UCCCUGGUGGCUCAGAGGGUAAAGCGUCUGCCUGCAAUGCAGGAAACCUGGGUUUGAUUCCUGGGUUGGGAA
This 72-nucleotide transfer RNA is filed under the name Bos taurus (domestic cattle). It matches the Rfam family "tRNA". From Rfam's summary of the family: Transfer RNA (tRNA) molecules are approximately 80 nucleotides in length. Lineage: Eukaryota; Metazoa; Chordata; Mammalia; Artiodactyla; Bovidae. RNAcentral also lists the same sequence under 3 other names. The record is from Rfam by way of RNAcentral.